GGAAACUGCCUGAUGGAGGGGGAUAACUACUGGAAACGGUAGCUAAUACCGCAUAACGUCGCAAGACCAAAGAGGGGGACCUUCGGGCCUCUUGCCAUCGGAUGUGCCCAGAUGGGAUUAGCUAGUAGGUGGGGUAACGGCUCACCUAGGCGACGAUCCCUAGCUGGUCUGAGAGGAUGACCAGCCACACUGGAACUGAGACACGGUCCAGACUCCUACGGGAGGCAGCAGUGGGGAAUAUUGCACAAUGGGCGCAAGCCUGAUGCAGCCAUGCCGCGUGUAUGAAGAAGGCCUUCGGGUUGUAAAGUACUUUCAGCGGGGAGGAAGGGAGUAAAGUUAAUACCUUUGCUCAU
RNAcentral lists this ribosomal RNA (353 nucleotides) under Escherichia coli. RNAcentral describes it as "bacterial SSU rRNA". It matches the Rfam family "Bacterial small subunit ribosomal RNA", at positions 121 to 476 of the family's 1533-position model. The record is from RNAcentral. Lineage: Bacteria; Pseudomonadati; Pseudomonadota; Gammaproteobacteria; Enterobacterales; Enterobacteriaceae.